CACGUGUGCAACCAACCCCGUACCGGGAGAUAACCCGCGGAAACGUGGACUAACACCCCAUAAGACCUUUCCCCCGCAUGGGGGGGAGUUUAAAACCCCGGUGGUACGGGACGGGCACGCGCGACAUUAGGUAGUUGGCGGGGUAACGGCCCACCAAGCCGACGAUGUCUAGGGGUUCUGAGAGGAAGGUCCCCCACACUGGAACUGAGACACGGUCCAGACUCCUACGGGAGGCAGCAGUGAGGAAUAUUGGUCAAUGGGCGAGAGCCUGAACCAGCCAAGUCGCGUGAGGGAAGAAUGGUCUAUGGCCUGUAAACCUCUUUUGUCAAGGAAGAACAUGUAGUACGUGUACUACCCUGCCAGUACUUGACGAAUAAGCAUCGGCUAACUCCGUGCCAGCAGCCGCGGUAAUACGGGGGAUGCGAGCGUUAUCCGGAUUUAUUGGGUUUAAAGGGCGCGUAGGCGGGACGUCAAGUCAGCGGUAAAAGACUGCAGCUAAACUGUAGCACGCCGUUGAAACUGUCGACCUGGAGACGAGACGAGGGAGGCGGAACAAGUGAAGUAGCGGUGAAAUGCAUAGAUAUCACUUGGAACCCCGAUAGCGAAGGCAGCUUCCCAGGCUCGAUCUGACGCUGAUGCGCGAGAGCGUGGGUAGCGAACAGGAUUAGGUACCCUGGUAGUCCACGCCGUAAACGAUGCUCACUGGAUCUUGGCGAUACACGGCCAGGGUUCAAGCGAAAGUAUUAAGUGAGCCACCUGGGGAGUACGUCGGCAACGAUGAAACUCAAAGGAAUUGACGGGGGCCCGCACAAGCGGAGGAACAUGUGGUUUAAUUCGAUGAUACGCGAGGAACCUUACCCGGGUUUAAAUGCAGGUUGCAUGAGGUGGAAACACCUCUUUCCCUCGGGACUACCUGCAAGGUGCUGCAUGGUUGUCGUCAGCUCGUGCCGUGAGGUGUCGGGUUAAGUCCCAUAACGAGCGCAACCCCUAUCGCCAGUUGCCAUCGGUUUCGGCCGGGCACUCUGUCGAGACUGCCACCGUAAGGUGCGAGGAAGGCGGGGAUGACGUCAAAUCAGCACGGCCCUUACACCCGGGGCGACACACGUGUUACAAUGGCCGGUACAGAGGGCAGCCACGGGGCGACCCGGAGCGAAUCUCUAAAGCCGGUCGUAGUUCGGACUGGAGUCUGCAACCCGACUCCACGAAGUUGGAUUCGCUAGUAAUCGCGCAUCAGC
This 1235-nucleotide ribosomal RNA is filed under the name metagenome. Its description in RNAcentral is "bacterial SSU rRNA". It matches the Rfam family "Bacterial small subunit ribosomal RNA", at positions 114 to 1353 of the family's 1533-position model. The record is from RNAcentral.